GUAGGUGGGCAAGCGUUGUCCGGAAUUAUUGGGCGUAAAGCGCGCGCAGGCGGUCCUUUAAGUCUGAUGUGAAAGCCCACGGCUCAACCGUGGAGGGUCAUUGGAAACUGGGGGACUUGAGUACAGAAGAGGAAAGCGGAAUUCCAAGUGUAGCGGUGAAAUGCGUAGAGAUUUAGAGGAACACCAGUGGCGAAGGCGGCUUUCUGGUCCGUAACUGGCGCUGAGGCGCGAAAGCGUGGGGAGCAAACAGGAUUAGAUACCCUGGUAGUCCACGCCGUAAACGAUGAGUGCUAAGUGUUAGGGGGUUUCCGCCCCUUAGUGCUGCAGCUAACGCAUUAAGCACUCCGCCUGGGGAGUACGGCCGCAAGGCUG
Molecule: ribosomal RNA, 372 nt
Filed under: uncultured organism
Description: partial 16S ribosomal RNA
Rfam family: Bacterial small subunit ribosomal RNA
Source: RNAcentral